CAGAGGUGUUUAAGGUGAACAAUCGACAGGCGUGGAUUUGUUUGGCCGUCUUUUGCUGUACACUACAAAGCCAUGAAUUGCUCUUAGUGGUUACGGGAAGUGCAAUAGCCGACGCGUGUGGAUUUAUUUAUGUAGAGCUGAUUGAUUCAGUUUCAAUGGAUGGCAGUUCAAUUAUUCAGAUUGAGGAAGAGCUCAAUGCCUUCUCUUUUGGUUUUUACAUUUGAGCAGCCAAACAUGUGAUAGCGAUCGGCACCCAUUUAAGACUUUCGUUGUAAAGUACAAAGAAACUCGCACUAAAUGCAACCAUCAUAUAGAUACAAUAGAGAAGAAGAGUGUUGCAAGACCGAACAUUAGUUUUUCGGGUAAUGACUCCAAGAGAUCAAGUUCUGCAUAACUAGAUGCGAGCAUAGAUAAGAAUAUGAGGAUCGAGGUUACCCAAAAAAAAAGAAUAUGAGGAUCGAGGCUGAUGAGGAUAUUAAAGACACGGCGUCAGAGAUCACAAAAAUGAGGGAUGGUUCACUGCGGAAAAAAGGAAUCCCGGUGUUCUGGUUGUAUCCAGCUGGGAGCGUAAAAGCCGCUGCAAAUACAAUAUGAGGGUUGCAACUAGCAUAUAGAUUUUAAUCCAACUCUCACCUUUGGUUACUAAAGCUGUAUGUUUCUGGGAGAACAAGUCUUGUGGUGUUUCACCGGCUCCAUUCUUCCUUCGUCUAUAUUGAGGUGGGAUCAUUUGUUCUACCUCCUGUAACAUAUAUUCAGUCAUUUUGAUGGU
This 769-nucleotide long non-coding RNA is filed under the name Helianthus annuus (common sunflower). Its description in RNAcentral is "hypothetical non coding rna". The record is from RNAcentral. Lineage: Eukaryota; Viridiplantae; Streptophyta; Magnoliopsida; Asterales; Asteraceae.